UGAGGCCUAGGCUGUCGGUGCAUGAUUUUGUUUGUUUGUUUACUCUGUAAACAAACAAAUAAACAAAUGGUGCGGUGGCUCGGGGAUAGCGGAUGAUGACGGAUGGUGAGCGGGUCGUAAGCUGAGCCAGAGGACUGUAAACAAACGGCAGAUUGCAAGAUGGGGGACGUGCUACAUGGGAAUGGGAUGUUUUUAAAUCCCUGCGCUCAGAGUGUGAACCCAAAUCCCUGCACCGCGUCAGAAAGAAUUGCGCAGAAAUCCAGACACUCUCUCGGGUUAACAAAGUGCCACACGUUGCCUCAGGAUGACAAGAUUUCUCCCAGAUUCAGUCAGUGCCAACCACUGUACUCAAGUCUCACUUGAGAGCACCACCAGUCUGGAAUGCCUUCCAAUUCUGGAAUGCCUUCCACGGAUCUGUGGGAAUCCUGCCAGCCAGUCUCCUCCAGCUCCUGGCCAAUGGCUCCCGGCUCGGAGAAGAAUCUUCCAGAGGUCUGUGUGGGCUGCGAUCGGGUGGCCAAGCAGACCGCCUGGUCCCGCGCUUCUACUGAGGACCCAGCGGGGAAGGAUGUCCAUUCAUCUUCCUACUUCACAUUCAAUUUUCAUCAGUGUCAGAUGGAAACGAGCCGAUUGCUUUCCCAGCAUCCACUGUGAGAGGUGCGAUGUUCAGCCGACUCCACACGACGGACGCGGCCUAAUUACGGCGGAUUGAGUGAUAGAUGCGCGCCGAGCCACCAGACCAGGAACGCAGGGCGUUAACAGCAUAUCCGUGGGACAUGUGCCGUGUCUGGGACAUGGACCCUGGGUUGAUGGGGCCUCUAACGUCACGUAUUGGAGGUCUUAUGGACCCGAUGGUCCGUGGAAGAUGGCCUCCUCAUUCACGGACGUUUUCACCAUGUCCUGAAGUGUCUUGACAAGGUCAUUAAGCUCUUAUCACCUUCGUGUUGGUUCAUAUCUUUGAUUGCUCUGUUGUCGGUGGGGUGGUAAUUUUCAAGAUGUGCAGGAGGAGGUCUUGGGAGAGCCGUGCAUGUGGAUGAGGAAAUGACAGAAUUAUCGCCCUGAAGCUACAGGCACGGGUUAAAGGGGGGUGUUGUGGGAAUCGUAAACACAGGGAUGCCAUUUGUCCAGCGUUUCAGUGCUACUCUGGUCACUUGCUACUAAUGAGUCUUGCACUGUGUGUUGUUUUUUUUUUGUUGUUGUUUUUUUUGCUAUUUUUUAACCGUCUAAGGGAGAAGGGUAUUCCCUCCCCAAGUAUGGGUUCUUGUGCUCCCGUGCAAGAGUUUCGGUGUCUUCUCGGUUGGUAAUUCCUCUCUUUGAUGUCUA
Molecule: long non-coding RNA, 1320 nt
Organism: Electrophorus electricus (electric eel)
Lineage: Eukaryota; Metazoa; Chordata; Actinopteri; Gymnotiformes; Gymnotidae
Source: RefSeq, a predicted model, not a curated record